Long non-coding RNA from Pangasianodon hypophthalmus (striped catfish), 4208 nucleotides. RefSeq lists it as uncharacterized. The transcript is spliced from 5 exons. NCBI's taxonomy places the organism in Eukaryota, Metazoa, Chordata, Actinopteri, Siluriformes, Pangasiidae. The record is from RefSeq and is a predicted model, not a curated record.
UUGGCCCCGGGGGCAGUCACGCCGAAGCCUUCUGCGGUUUUGCCAUCCCCGUCUGCAGUCACGCCCACGGCUUCUACAGUUUUAACAUCUCCGUCUGCAGUCAUGCCACCCCAGUCCACUGACUCCCCAGUUGAGCUGGAGGGUUGGGUGCGUCUGUGGGAAAAAUCACGGUGGCAUCCCAUCAGUCGACCUCUCCUGGGUGAAAAGCGAUGAAGAGAGAGGGCUCUUCAACCCCAUUCAGGUGUACCGUGAUAACACCGGUGCACUGAAGAGGCGAUGGGUACUGAAGUCAGACUGGAUGUGGUUUCACCCUCCAGAACCUCCAGGCUACAUUAGUGGUGCUGUACCAACUCCACACAUCUUCUUCUGGAGUCGUGUCUUUGUGUGGCAGCCAGCUGGGGUGUGGAGGUGCAGGUUCGCCAUAUCUGUGAUGUAUCCAGCUGGUAUACUAUGCUGACGGAGGUCUUGCGCUGUGGACAGUGCACCAAAGCAGCCAGGAGCGAUGAAGGUGGCAAGAUGGGUCGGUGGGUGGCAUGGGAUCCUGCUAUCAUGUGUCAACUCAGUGAAGCACACCAAGCCAUGUUCCCUGCUAUCCUCAAAGACAAGCGUGGUGUGGACAAGAACGUGGUAAGACUUCUGCGGGCCCGGACAGAAGGGAACCUCUGAGGAGUGUCUUCAGAGGAAAGAUCUGUACACCACACUCCUCAUGACUCUUCUUAAUCCCGGGGGGAUUGCCUCAUUUUUCAGACACACUUUCGAGACUCCAUCUCCUCCAAGAGAGCUGCCUUCUGCCUGUCUGCUCUGUCACGCCUUCCUGAUGGCAGAUGCCAACAAUGUACAGGACUACAGGAGCCAGAUUCUCUCCACUUUUGGCACUGUGCUAAAAAUGAACUCCACUAAGAAAGUACGUACAAGAAUACAUAAUGCAAUCAAGGUUUUUGUUUAGUUGUUACAUUUGACCUCCUGCAACGGUUUUGAAUAGAAAUACAUUUACAUGGUAAUACCAUCUAUAUCUCAAUCUGGAACUAUCAGAGUCUCUCACAUCAGUCAAGGCACAGCUGAGUAGUUUACCAGCAUUGCCAAUGAGUAUUCAAAGAUUGUCUUAUUUGUGCUUACUUGUGAAGAGUCCACUGAAUGUCUGGAGCCCAUGUGUCGUGGAGUAAUGGACAGAUUCCAGCAGGCCAAUCAACCUCGGCAUUCUAGGGGGCUGGUUACGGCCCACAGGUUGCUCGCCACACUGCACUCCCAGAGCACGUGCCGUGCGGUUCCGGGCUCGCCACACCCUGGCUGCGGGCAGAUAGGAUUCGCUGCCAUGCCCCGGGAAUGCAUCAAGGCCCUGACUGGGAGGAUCUCGUGGGCGGCCAUCCAUGACCGGUCCCUGUGCUUGUUCUGAAGAGAGGAGUGGGCUGCAUUUCGCCAAACCUGUUUGGCCGGGAAUGGGGCUCACUUCCUCCCGGUCCUGCACAAGAGAGACGAGAAGUUUUGGAUUAGUUAAAAUGAUGACAUCUUUUUCCAUGUCAUAUUUCUUUAAAAACUUUGCAAUAAAUACAUAUUCUUUACAGUGUAAAAGCAACUGGCAUUUUAAGAUGUGGUUUUAAAAUUUUCAGCCUUCUCAAGUAAGACCCCAUCCAGAACUUGACCACGGCUGCAGUCUUGCUGUCCCUGGACGGGGACGUGGCAUAUCCUAUGUGCAGGGUGGUGAAUUUUGAACCUAAAAACAGGUGGUGGUCUGGGAGGCCCUUCCCUCUGUUUUCUGGCCUCUUCUUCACCACUUCUCUCCUCAGUCUCUCCCACUAAGACCCCCACAGGAAAUAAAAGACCGCUCUCUCCAGAUCUAAAAGAAAGUGUCUUGGAGAACUAAAACCAGAACAGAGGAGUAAAAGCAAAGGUAAAAAGACAGUUUUUAUUAUUAAAACCUUUCCCUCCAUCGUCAUCUGUCUUAGUCCCCAAAACCCCAGCCGCUGCCUAAUUUUCCCUAACACGUCAGUCCAAUUACCUUGUCCGCCACCCUCCUCGUCAAAUUUUUUAUAUCUUUUUCUUUAAAAUCCAAAUCCAGGUCGUCUGUAAGUCACCCCACAGUCCAAAGAGCUGGGCCACGGACUUGCUCCUAUUGAGCUUGGCGCCCGAGGACUUUCCGUACCAGUCAGUCAAGUCGAGAGCUCUAUGGACCGAUAAAACGUCCGAACAUAAAAGUGUGACGUUGUCCAUGUACAAAGUGCAAGUAGUAGUCAGUCUGCCGGGCAAGUCUAGUCCUUUGAUCGAUUUGUCCUUUCUUAAGAUCUGCACCAGCGGCUCAAUGCAAGCUACGAACAGGAGCGGAGAUAACGGGCACCCCUGGCGGACACCGGAGCGAAUAUCAAUCACUUUUGUGAGGUGCCCGUUUACCAAAAUUCUGCUGCUAAUAUCUCGAUAGAGCAAGCCCACCCACGCUAAAAACCUCCCUGGAAAACCCAUUUUUCGCAGAACCUCAAAAAGGUACUGGUGCGAGACCCGAUCGAAGGCUUUCUCAAAAUCUAAAUUUAGAACUAGUAGCCGAAUGUUUCUGUCCCUCGUGAAACGGAUGGCGUCUCGGACCAGCACUAGGCUGUCCGUGAUCUUCCUCCCGGGAACGGCGCAGGCUUGAUCCGGGUGGAUCACGUCCUCUAAAACCGUCGACAUGCAUCAUGAUAUAAAAGUUUGCUAAAAAGCUUACAGUCGAAAUUUAAAAGGGUAAUCGGUCUCCAAUUCUUUAAGUCUCUUGUGACCUUUUUUAUGCAGUAAAGUAGCUAUCACUAUCCUGAAACUGUCUGGAAGUCGGUCCAGUCUUUCAAAUUCUUUAAAAACAGUCAGAAUGUCGUUUGCUAAAAUGUCCCAAAAGGUUUGACAGAAUUCCAGGGGGAGUCCAUCCUCUCCUGGAGACUUUCCUCGUUUAAAACCUUUAAGACAAUUUUGCAAUUCUAAAAUAGUAAAAUCUUCCACUAAAACACCCUGACUGUGUAUUUUUUUUUUUUUGUCUAAAACACUUAAAAUUUCCUGCAUUGUGUCAGGCUGCACACCUUUCUCCUUGUGGAGGUUUUCAUGAAAGCACUCUACAAUGUUUAAAAUCCCUACCGUUUUCUUUUCCUCCCUUCCUUCUGUUUUCAAUUGUUAUCCCUCCUCCCCUUGAUAUAAUUUUCUUAAAAAAGUAUUGUGUGCAUUUUUGUCCUUCUUCUAUUUCUUGCUCUUUGCUUCUUAAAAUCAUUCCUUUACUUUUAAUUUCUGUUAGAACAGACAUUUCCCUUUUCACUUCUUUAAUUUCUUCUGAAAAGUCAUAUCCCUGGUUUAAAAGAUUAAAAUACCUCUGCAGUCUUUUUUGCAGCCCCAUCAUGUGCUUCUUUUCUCUCUUUCCUUUCUUUCCCUAUCCUCCUAAAAAAGGUUUUUGUCCUAGAUUUUACCAUUUCCCACCAAAGUGCUCAUGAGUCAUAGAAGUCCUACUACUACAGGAGCCAGAUUCUCUCCACUUUUGGCACUGUGCUAAAAAUGAACUCCACUAAGAAGGUACGUAUUAGUAUACAUAAUGCAAUCAAGGUUUUUGUUUAGUUAUUACAUUUGACCUCCUGCAACGGUUUUGAAUAGAAAUACAUUUACAUGGUAAUACCAUCUAUAUCUCAAUCUGGAACUAUCAGAGUCUCUCACAUCAGUCAAGGCACAGCUGAGUAGUUUACCAGCAUUGGCAAUGAGUAUUCACAGAUUCUCAUUUGUGAUUACCUGUGAAGAGUCCACUGAAUGUCUGGAGCCCAUGUGUCAUGGAAUAAUGGACAGAUUCCAGCAGGCCAAUCAACCUGUGCCUAAGAUCUUGUAUGUUGACCAUGGGUGAUGUUGUGCACAAGGCCCAACCGCUGACAAUGGCAUGGUGGUGCAUCUAGACAUAUUCCACUGGAUCCAUCGAUUUGAUGCAGCCAUUCGCACAGAGAGCCACUCCAAGUAUGCUAUGUUCAAGUCUACCCUAGCAGAAGCAGUGCUGGCCUACAAUCGCACUGACUUGGAGCAGCUCAUCAAGGCUGGCGGAGCAAAGGACCCAGCAACAAAGUGCUGCCUAAUAUGAUUCCAGGUCCCCACUGUGUGGCGUGUCCCUAUCAGGUAUACCUGAUUAGCACAAUCACACAGUGGAACUCAGACCACAGCUCUGAAGCUGUGUUUGGAAUACCUCUUCAACCAGAGCACAGGUGAAUCUGGUCCCUUCUCCCUAA